GAUCCUGGCUCAGGACGAACGCUGGCGGCGUGCUUAACACAUGCAAGUCGAACGAGAAUCUGUGGAUCGAGGAUUCGUCCAAGUGAAGCAGAGGACAGUGGCGGACGGGUGAGUAACGCGUGAGGAACCUGCCGUUUCAGAGGGGGUACAACAGUUGGAAACGACUGCUAAUACCGCAUGAUACGUUUUGGGGGCAUCCCCGAGACGUCAAAGAUUUAUCGCUGAAAGAUGGCCUCGCGU
This 240-nucleotide ribosomal RNA is filed under the name uncultured bacterium. RNAcentral describes it as "partial 16S ribosomal RNA". It matches the Rfam family "Bacterial small subunit ribosomal RNA", at positions 15 to 236 of the family's 1533-position model. The record is from RNAcentral.